Mytilus trossulus (common blue mussel) is the source of this 401-nucleotide long non-coding RNA. RefSeq lists it as uncharacterized. NCBI's taxonomy places the organism in Eukaryota, Metazoa, Mollusca, Bivalvia, Mytilida, Mytilidae. The transcript has 3 exons. The record is from RefSeq and is a predicted model, not a curated record.
CCGCUUACUUGAAUUCCAUUUGUACUACAAGAUCAAACUCUAUAGUGGAAGAAAAGUUUGAUUUUAUUGCUGCUACAGUUGCUGCCCAUGAGAUUGGACAUGCUUUAGGAGCAGUUCAUGACGGCGAAAACAACAGGUGUUCAGCUUCAAGUGGUUUCAUCAUGGUUUCGAUCAGCCAGGCUUUGAGACCACCCAAUCAAAAAAGUCCAUAUGAAUUUUCUUCCUGUACUUCCAAGGAAAUUGGUUUAUAUCUAGACGAAUUAAAUAAAAAGGGUUCGCAUUGUAUGCAACGGACACAUCCUAAUGCUAAAAAUUACAAUCCUGGAUCACAAAAAAAGCUAGGUCAGACAUUCGACGUUGAUAAACAGUGUGAAUUCAUCAUAGGGAAAGGCUCUUAUGCA